RNAcentral lists this ribosomal RNA (833 nucleotides) under bacterium TC3_23_MR-2014. Its description in RNAcentral is "partial 16S ribosomal RNA". It matches the Rfam family "Bacterial small subunit ribosomal RNA", at positions 508 to 1340 of the family's 1533-position model. The record is from RNAcentral.
CCCGCAGNCGGGGUAANACAGAGGGNGCCAGCGUUAUUNNGGAUUAUNNGGGGUAAAGNNNGCGCGGCGGUGUUUUUAAGUUGGAUGUGAAAUUCCCGGGCUUCACCUGGGAACNGCCUUUAAAAUCGCCNAGCUAGAGUUUGUGAGGAGGUGGNGGAAUUUCCUGUGGAGCCGNGAAAUGCGGAGAUAUUGGGAAGAACUCCCGGGGAGGAGGGCGCCCCCUGGAAUAAUAAUGGCCGUUAAGUGAGAAAGCGUGGGGAGCAAACCAGGUUAGAUUCCCUUGUUGUUCCCCCCGUAAAAGAUGUUAAAUAGGGAGUUGGAGCCCUGAGGUCUUAGUUUCGGAGGUAACGCAUUAAGUUGGCCGCCUGGGGAGUACGGCCGCAAGGUUAAAAAUUAAAUGAAUUGACGGGGGCCCGCACCAGCGGUGGAGCCUGUGGUUUAAUUUGAAGCAACGCGAAGAACCUUACCAUGCCUUGACCUUCAGGGAAUUUCCCAGAGAUGNAUUGGUGCCUUUGGGAACAUUUACACAGUUGCGCCAUGGUGGUCNUCCACUUGUGUUGUGAAAUUGUGGGUUAAAUCCCGUCAAGAGCGCCACCCUUUUUCUUUUGUACCCGCAGGUCCGGCUGGGCACUCAAAGGAGACUGCCGGUGACAAACUGGAGGAAGGUGGGGAUGACGUCAAGUCAUCAUGGCCCUUACGACUUGGGCUACACACGUGCUACAAUGGUNGUUACAGAGGGAAGCCACCUCGCGAGGGCGAGCUAAUCCCACAAAAUCGAUCGUAGUCCGGAUCGCAGUCUGCAACUCGACUCCAUGAAGUCGGAAUCGCUAGUA